GAUGAAGAACGUAGCGAAAUGCGAUAAGUAAUGUGAAUUGCAGAAUUCAGUGAAUCAUCGAAUCUUUGAACGCACAUUGCGCCCAUUAGUAUUCUAGUGGGCAUGCCUGUUCGAGCGUCAUUAAGUCCACUUAAGCCCUGCUUAGUGUUGGGAGACUGCUCCAGCGGUGCUACCCUGUAGCUACCCUGCAGCUCCUCAAAGACAGCGGUGGAGUUGUGGUAUCCUCUGAGCUUAGUAACUUGUUCUAGCUUUCGAGUACACCACUUCCCCUGCCGUAAAACCCUUAAUUUUUAAUGGUUGACCUCGGAUCAGGUAGGAAUACCCGCUGAACUUAAGCAUAUCAAUAAGCGGAGGA
This 355-nucleotide unclassified non-coding RNA is filed under the name soil metagenome. RNAcentral describes it as "partial contains 5.8S ribosomal RNA, internal transcribed spacer 2, and large subunit ribosomal RNA". The stretch from base 1 to 120 matches the Rfam family "5.8S ribosomal RNA", at positions 35 to 154 of the family's 154-position model. The record is from RNAcentral.